RNAcentral lists this microRNA (24 nucleotides) under Ananas comosus (pineapple). RNAcentral's name for it is "microRNA s0204_c082". The record is from RNAcentral. Lineage: Eukaryota; Viridiplantae; Streptophyta; Magnoliopsida; Poales; Bromeliaceae.
AGUGUGGACCACCAUCAUCCUAAC